Rhipicephalus microplus (southern cattle tick) is the source of this 1096-nucleotide long non-coding RNA. NCBI's taxonomy places the organism in Eukaryota, Metazoa, Arthropoda, Arachnida, Ixodida, Ixodidae. The record is from RefSeq and is a predicted model, not a curated record.
UGUUUGGCUGGUCGCAUACAGUGCUCCGCUUUCAAGUGUUCUUGGUCCGUUACCGGGCCCCGCCCGUGUCUGGACAAGCUCACUAUUUCUUCUAGAAGACUUCAGGGACACGCCAACACCAUCCGGGCCCCGGUCCGACUCCAGGCUGGCCCUCCAGGCCCCUUCAAAAGUACCAAGCAGCGCGGCGCCGUGCUAACCCUAACGUGCCGCGCCUGGGCCUCCAAGAUGCAGCGUCCCGCCCGGCACUCGACACCAACGACAACUGACGCCCAGUCGAUUGCCUCGAAAUGCUCACCUGGCUUGCUGGAAUAAUAUCCUCCGAAUAGAUGCACAGAAGUAUAAUCUGGGCAUUAAGGCUGGCUUUUAACAUCAUGCACACACUAUUUGAUGACUGAAGACCUAAGGUACGACGUGGCAAUACAGUCUACAACAUUAAAAUGCUUCGACCGAAGGUUUGGCAACAGUCUUGAUUAUCUAGGGGACUACUGCCAGCUAAGAUUUUCAAGCGCAGAGGCAAUGCCUAGAAAAUGUUUAGCACAACUCUGAGGCCUUCUAUAAGAAAAUGUUAACUCUCCUCCAUUUUUUGGAAAUGAUUGCUCACUAGAAGGACACAGUGUGCCUUUUCAGUUGACAGCCACAUUUUCACUGUCUUGUUCUUUUUUGUUGUCUGUGCCUACAUGACUCACCUUCUUUCUUGUUGAAUUUAAAUCAACUGGCUCAAUUUUAUGUGGUGAUGUGCGUACAAUAAACACAAAAACAAACGCAAUGAAUGUAAAUGUGGGUCACUUUCUUAAUAAAGUACAGGUAAUCUACUGCACCCCUAUCACUACCGCAGCAACGAGAAAGUUGUGUUGGCAAUGGUGUGGAAACUACCUCAAUUGAACUGAAUUGUGAAUUCACUCAAUUGUGAAUUUUCGGUGAUGUCAAUGGGUGAUUGCUGCUUCUUUUUUACGCAUUAUGUUCAUUUCGUGUUACAGGGUUUUUUUGCAUGUAUAUAUUUUCUUUUGCUUUGUUUUAUCACUUGUUAUAAUUCCCCUCCUGCUUGGGCCAAAGCAUUGGCCUGUGGUAUUUCUAAAUAAAUAAUGAAAAUAACUAA